UGAAACUAAAAUGCCGGCUCAGCGGAUCUAUCUGGUACCAGAUACGUAUAAGGGUACUAUUUAUGUAUCUGUCCAGUAAAAAGUAGGACGAGAACGAAUUGAACAUGAAAAAGGAGAUGUGUAAUAAGACACAGCAUCCAAACAACACAAAAACUAAAAGACAUCAAGACAUCAAGAGGGAAACGCCAUGCAUGCACCAUCUGUAUCCAGCUUGAAAUUUUAAAGCCUGAGGGACCAGUAUUUUUUAUGGGAAGUCUGACUUUUCCGGAUUUAACAGAAGCUAGGGAUUUGAAUUUCACUAAACAGAUACCACAGACCUGGUCAUGAAAUAUUCAUAAAUAAAUUAUAGAGAAUAAACUGAUGAAACAAUAUGUUCUCCGAGUGUUCGAAAUUCAUUUUUGUAAUUUAACUUAAAAGGAUCUUGUCGAUAAUCGUACUUCUCUGUGCUAUGAUUCACAUUAAAAAAUACAAAAUGAACACCCAAUGUCUAUGCAUUCGUUAGAAGAGAACACGAAAAGAUAUAUAAGAGGAGACACCCUCUACUGGCACAAUUUUUUUUACACAAAACCAGCAGCGGUUAUUACGGCCUCUAAA
Molecule: long non-coding RNA, 594 nt
Organism: Mytilus californianus (California mussel)
Lineage: Eukaryota; Metazoa; Mollusca; Bivalvia; Mytilida; Mytilidae
Exons: 3
Source: RefSeq, a predicted model, not a curated record